Brassica rapa (field mustard) is the source of this 2103-nucleotide long non-coding RNA. RefSeq lists it as uncharacterized. Lineage: Eukaryota; Viridiplantae; Streptophyta; Magnoliopsida; Brassicales; Brassicaceae. The record is from RefSeq and is a predicted model, not a curated record.
CUUUUCUUCAUCCUUCUUGUUUGCAUAUUUCUUUAUCUCGGCUCAUAGAUAAUUUUUUCGUUUUUAUCUCUCACUCUCAGAUUUUUCGUCACAGUAGUAAGGUAUCCAAGAAGGGUCUGGAUUGGGUUACUCCAAAGAUAGAAGAUGGAGGAGGACAACAGAUGAGUAGAGCGUGACGACGAAGGACAUGGCUGAGGGAAUGGCUGAAGCGCCGAGGGUGGAGGAAGACGGCAUAUGAGGACCAGAUCCGGCGGAGACUGUUAGAGAGAAUAAAAUCCCACAUCGAAAAUAUGUAAGGGAUUUGAAUAAUAUAUAUAAGGGACCUGGGCCAUUCUACUUAUCGCCAAUUGGUUUUAAGUUGAAACUUAAAUUGGUAUCAAAGUGGACCCAAACCCUGACCCAUCAAUCCGUCCCGGAAAAUAGUCCGAUCAUCCCACAAAUUGAUGGCAUAAAGAAGGCUCGGUGUCUUAAAGAUUGUUAGAAAAUAAAGCAAUUUCUCGGAGUCUAUGAUGGAUUAUGCGAAAUUAAUGGUUAUACGCACCAUUGUCUUAAGAGAGGAUAUUAGAGAAGAUCUCACAUUAUGUAACGGAUUUGAAUAACAUCUAAGAGAUUUGGCCCACUCCACUUACUGCCAAUUGGUUUUAAGUUGAACUUAACAAAGAGUGUGACAUGAUAAGUCACAAAGCUUAUUCAUCAUUAUCUGAACUUAUUUUGAUUUUUCUUUUUCUUGUUGGUUUUGUCUCUUUUAUUUUCCUAAUUAGUUUUAAUAUUUCUUCUCUUUUAUAAUGUAGCCAUACAACAGUUUAAGAAUACACAAUCAAUAAACUAUUUCUUCAAGUUCUUACUUUUCUUUAGAGUUACUUUGGUAACUUCAUACAAGAGCUUCGCAUUACGAAUCAAGUCUUUCAACUUGAUCCUUCUAAAAUUUGAGAUCAUCUUGUACGUCUGUGUUUGAUAUCUAUAUAGGUUUCCUGUCACAGUGGUAUCAGAGCAGUGACAAUUUUCUCAGGACCGAAUCAUGGACACCAGACAAACAACCGCUAUCAAAGAGAUGAACAAAAAAACUCGAAGAACUUCACUCAUCGGAAUCUCAACAAUCAUAGGGACAUCUGAAAUGAUCUAGGUGGAGAAAUCGCAUAAAUCAAAGCGAUGAUCUCAUAAAUCCUAAACACUUCACCGAUUACACCGACUUCCCCAAGGAUAACAAAGUCAAUCCACUGGUACCUCCCAUCUUCUGCACACAACAAGCGUAUCUUCAUCGGACCAGACAAAUAAAAAUGCUCCACCAGAUUUAGAACACCACCUGCCUCUUCCCAUUGUGUUAUCAUCUCACUUAACAAAGGUCGGGUUUCCAAUGUUGACGGAACAAUACGUAUGGAAUGGAGUUACCGAUGUGAAAAAUUCUUCUCCAACAAUAAUAAUUCACCAAAAUGAAAGGUUCGUCUGGUCUCUCUUCACAUGAAGGGAAAAGCUCUCCAGUGGCACCACUGAUAUCAUCGAUGAAGAAAACAUAAAAUACAAUUGCAAUAAAAUAACAAAUAUGAUUCAUUGAUUCUUCUCUAAUAAAUAGAGAGAGAGAGAGAGAGAGAGAGAGAGAGAGAGAGAGAGAGAGAGAGAGAGAGAGAGAGAGAGAGAGAGAGAGAGAGAGAGAGAGAGAGAGAGAGAGAGAGAGAGAGAGAGAGUUGAUCCUUCUCCCUUUCAUGGUAGCUAAUUGCAAAGAUGAAAUCCUCUAGAGUCUCGUUUUUCUGAAUAAAAAUUGCGUAGCUAAGAAAAGAAAAGAAGAAAAGAAUAUAUAGGACAAAGUCGCAUGCAGCUCAAGGAGAGAUGGGAUCCCUAGGGUAAAUUCAGGAUGUUUUGGAACUUUCCACAAGAAUCUCCGGUGAUGGAGUGUGGGGGAGUUGAUAGACCAUGGAUUUCACCCAUUUUCAUUCAUUGAUUAUAGGUGUUUUUACUAUAGAGUUUAUUUAUUAUAUUUACAAGAUCAGGAGUGAUUUGGAGAUAAGUGAUGAUUUUAGAGUAUUUUGGAGAUAUUUAGAGCAAGCACCCGAGAUGACCAUCAAGCUCGACCAUCGGUCGAUAUUAGAGGAGGAAUAUUGAUCAAUG